RNAcentral lists this unclassified non-coding RNA (40 nucleotides) under avian metapneumovirus. RNAcentral's name for it is "Avian metapneumovirus miscellaneous RNA". Lineage: Riboviria; Orthornavirae; Negarnaviricota; Monjiviricetes; Mononegavirales; Pneumoviridae. The record is from RNAcentral.
ACGAGAAAAAAACGCAUAUAAGACAACUUCCAAACAAAAC